RNAcentral lists this ribosomal RNA (485 nucleotides) under uncultured bacterium. RNAcentral's name for it is "bacterial SSU rRNA". It matches the Rfam family "Bacterial small subunit ribosomal RNA", at positions 327 to 804 of the family's 1533-position model. The record is from RNAcentral.
GCUGUGGAACUCCUACGGGAGGCAGCAGUGGGGAAUAUUGGACAAUGGGGGAAACCCUGAUCCAGCCAUGCCGCGUGUGUGAAGAAGGCCUUCGGGUUGUAAAGCACUUUAAGCGAGGAGGAAGGUUCGUUACUUAAUACGUAACGGAAUUGACGUUACUCGCAGAAUAAGCACCGGCUAACUCUGUGCCAGCAGCCGCGGUAAUACAGAGGGUGCAAGCGUUAAUCGGAAUUACUGGGCGUAAAGCGCGCGUAGGCGGUUGUGUAAGUUGGAUGUGAAAUCCCCGGGCUUAACCUGGGCACUGCAUUCAAAACUGCACGGCUAGAGUAUGGGAGAGGAAGGUAGAAUUCCAGGUGUAGCGGUGAAAUGCGUAGAGAUCUGGAGGAAUACCGAUGGCGAAGGCAGCCUUCUGGCCUAAUACUGACGCUGAGGUGCGAAAGCAUGGGGAGCAAACAGGAUUAGAUACCCUUGUAGUCCUACCACGU